This 452-nucleotide long non-coding RNA is filed under the name Ananas comosus (pineapple). Its description in RNAcentral is "long non-coding RNA (ACOM_LNC003902)". Lineage: Eukaryota; Viridiplantae; Streptophyta; Magnoliopsida; Poales; Bromeliaceae. The record is from RNAcentral.
AUCUACCGGCGGGGCCGCCGGCAAUCGGCCGCGAAGGCGCCUUACGGCCAUCGACAGACGAUGAAUCAGUAGAUUGCGACGACUUCGACGCCAUUGCAAGCAAUGUAGAUUUAGAUUGGUCGUGUAUUCGCCGAUGGGAUUCGAAGUGGACGAUGGUGGUUACAAAUAGAAAUGCGGCUGAUAGGGCAAUGACCGCCGUAAGGUGGUUUAGAGGCCUUAAAGGAUUAGAAUAGGAUAAUGGGGAGCAACAGGAGUUUGAAAGUUAGUGGGAUGCUAGUAUAGGACAAUCAUUUUACGAAACAGCGUAAGAGUCCAUACAAAACCUGACACAUUAGCACAACAAACACCCAACAGCGAGAAUGUGAAAGUUAGUGGCAUUAAAUGUAGCGACAGAUUCGUACAUUAACGUGAUCGUUAUACUCGAGUAACUAGUGAAUAGGCACUGGCCGGUA